AGAGUUUGAUCAUGGCUCAGAACGAACGCUGGCGGCAUGCCUAACACAUGCAAGUCGAACGCUUCUGACGGCUUCGGCCGUCAGGGGAGUGGCGCACGGGUGAGUAGCGCGUGGGAACCUGCCCUGUUGUGGGGGAUAACCGAGGGAAACUUCGGCUAAUACCGCAUACGCCGGUUGUCUUGAGAGAGAUGGCCGGGAAAGAUUGAUCGCAGCAGGAGGGGCCCGCGUCGGAUUAGGUAGUUGGUGGGGUAACGGCCUACCAAGCCUGUGAUCCGUAGCUGGUCUGAGAGGAUGAUCAGCCACACUGGGACUGAGACACGGCCCAGACUCCUACGGGAGGCAGCAGUGGGGAAUAUUGGACAAUGGGCGCAAGCCUGAUCCAGCAAUGCCGCGUGAGUGAUGAAGGCCUUCGGGUUGUAAAGCUCUUUCGCCUGCGACGAUGAUGACGGUAGCAGGAGAAGAAGCCCCGGCUAACUUCGUGCCAGCAGCCGCGGUAAUACGAAGGGGGCGAGCGUUGUUCGGAUUUACUGGGCGUAAAGGGCGCGUAGGCGGCGAUGUAAGUCAGGCGUGAAAGCCCCGGGCUCAACCUGGGAAUUGCGCUUGGGACUACAUUGCUGGAGUUCGGGAGAGGAGCGUGGAAUUCCCAGUGUAGAGGUGAAAUUCGUAGAUAUUGGGAAGAACACCGGUGGCGAAGGCGGCGCUCUGGACCGAUACUGACGCUGAGGCGCGAAAGCGUGGGGAGCAAACAGGAUUAGAUACCCUGGUAGUCCACGCUGUAAACGAUGUGUGCUAGACGUUGGGGAGCCUAGCUCUUCGGUGUCGCCGCUAACGCUGUAAGCACACCGCCUGGGGAGUACGGCCGCAAGGUUAAAACUCAAAGGAAUUGACGGGGGCCCCGCACAAGCGGUGGAGCAUGUGGUUUAAUUCGACGCAACGCGAAGAACCUUU
RNAcentral lists this ribosomal RNA (948 nucleotides) under uncultured bacterium. Its description in RNAcentral is "bacterial SSU rRNA". It matches the Rfam family "Bacterial small subunit ribosomal RNA", at positions 8 to 973 of the family's 1533-position model. The record is from RNAcentral.